Non-coding RNA from Cordylochernes scorpioides, 259 nucleotides. Lineage: Eukaryota; Metazoa; Arthropoda; Arachnida; Pseudoscorpiones; Chernetidae. The record is from the annotation of a GenBank genome assembly.
UCCAGGGUAGCCUAGUGGACAUGGCAUCUGCCCGGUAACGGAAAUAUCUUUAUUUACGGGGCGCUGUUAACCAGAAUGGAUGAUUUUUGAGCCCCGAUGGACGCAUAAAGCGGAAUAUAUACAUUGCACUGUUAGAGAGGCCUAGGGAUGGGUUGCCAGGGGAUCAUCGCCGGGUGAGGCCAGGAGAGCCGGGAUGUAGAGGAGGAUCAGGGUCUGCCCAGUAAGCGGAACACUGUGGGUUCUAUUCCUAUCCCUGGAC